GAUUUAAAAGGAAACAAUCUCUGGAAAAAUCAUGUUGCAAAAGGAAAUCUUGAAAUGUUUCCAUGGCUGUUUGGGCUUGAGAGCGAGGAAGGAUAUCAGAAAGUCUUGAGUCUUACUGAAACAGAAAUUUCUUAUGUUUGUCCUAUGAGUUUUAAAAAUUUAUGAAAGGGAAAGAGAUCAACUUCAAGGAGGAUGCUGCAAGCAACAGACGAUUUUGAAAAUCCUGGGAGUUUACCAAUGGUGAGGGAAUGGUGGAAGUCGGAACACUUGGCAUAAAUGGCGAUGGACAUGGACCCAAGUUCAGAACAGGGUCAGCAUUUCAGUCAUUCCCUGCCAUCAACCCUUCUUCCCUACAAGCAAAUUUAUGCUGAAAAACAAAAAGCUGCCAAGCAAACAACCCUCAGCACUUUCUUUAAACCGGUGUCAUCUCCUGCUGCCAACAGUUCUAAGAGUUCUGUGAGUCUUCCUUCACCCCUCACUGUGCUUGCUAUGAUCCUGAAGACCACAGCCAUCCACCUUAUCCACAUAAAGCUGCCCGACACCACAACAACCACUCAUCUCCCGGAGCGAAAACACUUGCCACUGUUGGAUAAAGUGAUCUUCAAAGAACAAGCUAUUUCAACUGCUGAAUGACAUUGCUCCCACACAAGCUAUUUAAUGUGAAAAACCUACAAUAUCAACAUAGUUCUUCUGUAAAUUAACAGACAAAAUGUACAAAGGCAUCACACAGCAUUGAUAUGAAGACAUACAUUUAUGAAUUACUUUAAAACUUAUAAUUUUUGAUUAUUUACUAUCAUGUUUUCUACUAUUGGUCUUGGUUGGACCAUGUUAAUUAACUGCAUCACUCUUCAAAAAUACCACCAAUCACUGGAGAUGCUGCUCCAAUAUCAGUAAUAUUUUCUUGAAACCUUGAUGUUUCGGAACUCUUGACAGAGGUUCUAGCUAGACUUGAAUCUCUCAAUCAGAUGAGAAAAACUUGGCACAGAAUUAGAGCAAAGUUUAUAUUGAGGAUGUAUUCGUAUUGCCGAUUCACUCCUCCCAACACCUCUGAAACCCCUUUCUUUCCCCAACUCUCCACGGUCCUAAACUUGACAGAUCUAAAUAGGUGGGAAUCACUAACUGUCUAAGUAUCAGUAAUAUACACUAUUUGGUGCUAUAGGAAAACUCUAAUUAUCUGCUGUCUACCUGUCUAGAAAUCCUGAUGGUAAUUACCAACUGGCUCAAUUGAUGCUUAUUCCCCUGAUGCUUAUUCCAUUUAAAACACCGCAGCUCUGGUCUUUUUCCUUGUCCUGGCUCCUGCAACACCAUUAACAUACCAGACAUACAGCUUCUGCACUCCCUUUACACUCUCUGGUUCCUGUGCCUACACUUACUGACAUUAAAGAUUCAGUAUUCUUCUUAAACUUGCUGGGUUUUCAGAAAAAAGUAUCAUACUACUGUGCAACAUCUAACAAAAAAGUGAAUUAGAAGUGUAUUAAAAUAUUAACUAGAAUGACAGCCACUAGUGUGCAAAGUCUAUCAACCUGACACAGCCAAUAUCACAAGCACGUUGGAUUUACAGAACUUUACUGUACUUUUU
Molecule: long non-coding RNA, 1579 nt
Organism: Hypanus sabinus (Atlantic stingray)
Lineage: Eukaryota; Metazoa; Chordata; Chondrichthyes; Myliobatiformes; Dasyatidae
Exons: 3
Source: RefSeq, a predicted model, not a curated record